UCGCAAAAGUCAAUUACGCCA
RNAcentral lists this non-coding RNA (21 nucleotides) under Arabidopsis thaliana (thale cress). The record is from RNAcentral. Lineage: Eukaryota; Viridiplantae; Streptophyta; Magnoliopsida; Brassicales; Brassicaceae.